GGUAACUACGUGUCGGCUGCGGGGGGAGUCAGGAUGGUGCGAGCGUUAAUCGGAAGUACUGGGCGUAAAGCGUGCGCAGGCGGUUUGAUAAGACAGGCGUGAAAUCCCCGGGCUCAACUUGGGAAUGGCGCUUGUGACUGUCAGGGUAGAGUAUGUCAGAGGGGGGUAGAAUUCCACGUGUAGCAGUGAAAUGCGUAGAGAUGUGGAGGAAUACCGAUGGCGAAGGCAGCCCCCUGGGACGUGACUGACGCUCAUGCACGAAAGCGUGGGGAGCAAACAGGAUUAGAUACCCCAGUAGUC
This 300-nucleotide ribosomal RNA is filed under the name uncultured Acidisphaera sp. Its description in RNAcentral is "bacterial SSU rRNA". It matches the Rfam family "Bacterial small subunit ribosomal RNA", at positions 496 to 795 of the family's 1533-position model. Lineage: Bacteria; Pseudomonadati; Pseudomonadota; Alphaproteobacteria; Acetobacterales; Acetobacteraceae. The record is from RNAcentral.